This 2332-nucleotide long non-coding RNA is filed under the name Medicago truncatula (barrel medic). RNAcentral describes it as "long non-coding RNA (MTRU_LNC003797)". The record is from RNAcentral. Lineage: Eukaryota; Viridiplantae; Streptophyta; Magnoliopsida; Fabales; Fabaceae.
UUCUACCUAACCUAAUCAAAGAAAUUAGGCUAAAUAUGGAGAGAAAUCAAUAACUCUUACAAGAGAAGAAUAGUCUCUCUCUUUACGGUUGAAUUCCAUUUUUGAUGAUAGCACAUUCCUUCCAAUUUUUUGGCCUGUUGUUGUCAGGUUUGUCUCAUUCUUUUCGUUUAAAGGGUCUUUUAAUUUAUCUUUUUCGCUUUUCUUGAGUUGUAGAAGAUGUAUUUAGUUUAGCGUUCCAAAAUCCUUUAAUGCUAUUAGUUUUCUGAUUUUAAUUGCUCAUGUUUAUUUAGUUGAUGAAUUGUUAUGUGUGUUGAUAUGGAAUUGGAGAUAUGCACAUUGCCUAAGAUUCAAUCUGGAACAAUUUCUUAACUAAGAAAACUUCAUAUCUUCUAUGUGGUUUAAUCAUGUUUAAAAUACUAUACCAUUAAUUGUUAUUGAUUUGUAAAUUAGUAAAUUCUUAAUCCUUGUUUGUGUUUGUCCCCUUGCUAAAUAGGGAAAUCUUUUAAUACAUUUGUAUUUUUUCCAGUUUAUGUUAUAGUCCAAAAAUUGUUUAUCUGCACCUAUUUGGUUGUCAGAGUUGCCUCUGAUGUUGUCUGGUUUGUUUUUACUGAAAAAUUUAUGUCAUUUUAAUGACUUUUAUUAUUAUAUUCAUUGUUCGAAUGAUGUUUUCCCUCCCCACCGAGUUAUGAAUUUUAUAUGAGUAAAUAGUCAAUUUCCCCAUUGAAAUUGUAAGUUUCAUCAAUUACCCCCCUGAAAUUAACAAAACUUCAAUUACCCCCUUGAAAUUUCACAACGUUAGUCAAUUUACCCCCUUCGUCAAAUUUUUCUGUUAGUGAACAUGACGUUUUGCAAAUACCCCCUGACGUUUUGCACUUAUGUGCAAAAUGCCCCCAAACUUAAAAAUUUAUAUUAUUUUUUUCUUAAAAACAAACAAUUAAUAGUUAAAUAUUAAAGCUAACUAUUAAUUUUGGAGUUUGGAAAAACUACAUACAUAUAUACAUCAAAAUAGGGAAAAAUGUGUAUUUUUAAAGUGACAAUAAUGGUUAUUUCUAAUAGACAAAUUAUUAUUUUUAGAGGUUUAUAAACAAAUUAAUAAUCAGAUUUAAAUUUAUAUUUUCUCCUUCACCAUCUUAGUCUUUUAACUCCUCCAACUCCUUCAACAAUUUGCUCAAACCAUUUAAACUACACAACCCCCAAUAUUAAUCCACAAAUCAUCCCAUUAUUGUCACUUUAAAAAAUACAUAUUUUUCCCCAUUUUGGAGCCUAUUUUGAUGUAUAUAUGCAUGUAGUUUUCCCAAAUUCCAAAAUUAAUAGUUAGUUUUAAUAUUUAACUAUUAAUUGUUUGUUUUUAAGAAAAAAAUAAUAUAAAUUUUUAAGUUUGGGGGGCAUUUUGCACAUAAGUGCAAAACUUCAGGGGGUUAUUUGCAAAACGUCAUGUUCACUAACAGAAAAAUUUGACGGAGGGGGUAAAUUGACUAACGUUGUGAAAUUUCAGGGGGGUAAUUGAAGUUUUGUUAAUUUCAGGGGGUAAUUGAUGAAACUUACAAUUUCAGGGGGGAAAUUGACUAUUUACUCAAUUUUAUAUAUAUCACACAAUGCUCAUCUCAUAGCCAUUAGGUGCAGAAUAUGUUGCUAUUUUGAUUGGUAUCUUGCUUUGAUUGUGUUUCUUUGGUUCCAUGAUUUGAGAAUGAGUAGGCAUGCUGAUUUUGUUGAAGACCAGAUAAUAACAAAAUUGAAUGAUUUAUGUUCUUCAAAUGAGGAAGUAGUUUUAAUUGUUAUUGCUUGCUACUUUGGAGUUGAAGAGGGAAUUGAUAUGUGGCUUUCUGAGAAGGAAACUAUUUUCCUUCUUAGUGAUUGUGUAUCAAUGAUGGUUGCACAUGAUACUUGUGAUGUGUUGAUGUCAUUGGUAGGUUUUAUGCAAUGCACAUUGCAGGUUGCUGUUUUAUUCAAGUGUUUUUUUGUGUUUUAAUGUUUUGAUUAUUUUGGUUAUGUUAUGAUUUUGUUUUUUACUAGGAUGGAGGAUCUUCUUUGUAUCCUAAUGAGAUGGAAGAUUUAUUUGGUGAGGUAUUUUGUGUGCUUGAUAAUUAGCUUUAUCUAAAGAUUGUUGGUUGACUUAAGCAGUUGUAUUUUCAUUUUAGGAACUGCCUCAACAUGUUGAGGUUGCUCAAGUUGUUGAAUCUCCUCAUGAUACAUUUGAUUUGUCUAUCUCCAAUGGUAUAUAAGUCAAGAAGGGGGGAGACUCCAGUGUUGUUGGAGGAGUUGUUGGUGGGGAUGUAAAACAAAGCCGUAAGAGGAGAUAUAAGGAAGCUUUUGUAGUGGAUGAUGGCAUGGA